AUACAUACCUUUUUCAUAUUCAUAAUUCGCAUAACGGGACAGAUUCACAACUUAGCUUAUGCAUAACUUACAACUCAUGCAAAGUAGAUGGAUUUUUGGCUGUCCGAGUCCGAUAAGCGGCAUAUGUACAUGUUUUACACGCAUGCUAACGACCCGUUUUUUCCUUUUUCUUUUACAGUAGGUUAAAGUUGUCAGCAAUGGCACAUAUGUACUACCUGCUUACGUAGCUGGCUGCAUAUUUACAUCUUUUACAGUAGCUUACUUUAGCACAAAGCCAUAGUAAGUGAAGGUCUAUGGAAACCAGGUACUUGACAUCUGAUAUCAUCAAAGUUACAUGCACGCUUGCAACUCAUUCUGUUCGAUUUUAACUAAUGUAUUCAACCCCUGACACCUAUAUCCAUGGGACCCACAAUUUGGAUGCAAUACAAUAGUUUAGAUAACAAGAAUCUGUUAACUUCAGUUAAGUUCUAGUCAGAGCUUCUAGCAUUUUCGCAACUUUGUGCAUUGGGUACAGUUGACACACGUGUCAUUGCUAUCUGCAACAAUUGAACCAACUCUUCUUCAAUAUUAGUACACAUGUGAAAAGCCUAGCAGUCCAUUUUUGACGCACGUUUACUGAACCCAUUGUGGUAAAUCUAGGCCUUCCUCUCCUAGUGAGGUUUGCGUAGGGGAUUUACCCGUCAGAAACUGGAGUAGCAAAACCCCAAGACUGUAAACAUCUGAUUUAAAGUGACAUUUUUGGGUCUCAAGGACUUCUGGGCCUGGUAUCUAUAAGCCCGAUUGUUUAACGUGCUUGACCCACUAAGUAGUGGGUUCAGACCAUAGUCUGAAAUGGCUUCCCGAAGAAGGAUGUUGGAUGCCUUGAUCUUGCCAUGAACUAUGUUCAUAGCAACAUGCAAGUAAGCCAACCCUUUGACGACACUUGCUGCUAUUCUCACUCGAUGGUCCCAAUCGAGUGUGGUCCGGCCCGUGAUUUUGUUGCCUGUAUAAGUGUUCGCAUAUGUUAGAUUUUUUGGACCAUUAAUGUAAAUAAGAUGGUACAGUUGGGUCAUGAUUAACAUAAGCCCGGAGAUGCCUUUAACACGAUACGAAUGUCAUGACAGAAACAUGACUUUGAAAUGAUUUAGUUAUGGGGUUGUCAUUUUGUCUUAUCUUUAUACUUGUAUUUUAGUUAUGACAGAAACAUGACUUUGAAAUGAUUUAGUUAUGAUUUAGUUAGAAUGGCAUACCAACAUUACAAUGAACACCAGGAUACCUUUCAGGGUCAUACAAUAUGUAGGGUCAUACAAUCCAUAUAGAAGGUUAAAGUAAUAUGGACAUUGUCACAUAAGCCAUUUCUUUAUAAAGUUGUAUUUUCAUAUGAGCCUUAUGAUGUGGGCAAACCACGGGUCGUAUAGCCCUCUUCUACAACUCGUGUGACACAUAUUUGCCAUGUUAUACGAUCCGUAUGAGGGAUGGUGUAUGGUUAACAUGUCAUUGGUACCAACCACCUUAUUUAUUUACGGAGUAAUGCAGAUGGGCUAUCUCUUUUGAUACUUUUUACAGUCUGUUAUAACAUAAACGGCCUACUUGACUGCGGGGUUAAUUAGGCCGGUCUAAAACGGUUUGUUUUGAAAUUUAGAACCAAUAUUUUUAUUAAAGAUAAACAUGGUUUAUGAUUAUCUAUACUAUAUUAUAAUACAUGAGGGAAGGAUUCCUAAAAGUUAAGAACUUCUUCCCCCAUUAUUUAUAAAUAAACCCUUAGAAUGAGGGUAAAGUGGUCUUUUAAACCAUAAUUAUUUUUUAGUCCCUCAAUCUAUUACAUUUAAAUCCUUGACAUUUAAUAUAAUUAUGGGAAAUUAGUUACACUCCCCCCCCCCCUCUUUAAUUCUUUAAUGUAUUCCUGCGAUAUCUUACAACCCGUAAUGUUUUAAAAAAAUCCGAAGGUACCAUGACGAUCGGGACAUUUUUGUCGACUUUUCGAUGGUUGUCUUGGUCAAUAUUGACGUGCUGAUUAAAAUGUAUAAGUAGAUGAUGCGUUAGUGUACAAGUGAUUUAAUCCUGCUAAAAGCACUAACAUUUUUAAAAGUAAAACUAUUGUUGAAUAAUGGAUUAAACUUUUCUUUAUACUUUAGUCAAAUAUAACAAAACGUCCUAUUUUAAAGGUAAAAUUUUAACCGGGAAAAACUUUUUAAAAUUUAAACUUUAAAUUAUAGUACAAUCACUUGAAAAGUUUUAUGUACAGUUCAUUUAUGAGAUUCUAGAGGCACUCUUCUUCCUUUGUCUCUCUCUCAAAGUCCCUACUCCCAUUUCAAAACUCAAUAAAUGAUGGCCGGUGUAACCACAUAUUCGUGAAGAUGGUGGCCUCUGUUCAGGUAAGAUGACGACAAUGAAGAUGGCGUCUAGGGUUUGCAGCGGCUCUACAGGCGGUAAAAGUGGUGAAUUCUGAACCAAAAGCGAAAGUAGAAGAUGGUGUACGGACGGAACCAAACACAACCUUCAUCUUCCUCUUCUGGUACCAAAAUCAUCUCUCUUUGUCUUUGGUUUUCCAUGGGUCCUUAAUUUUUUACAUCUCUAGGGUUAACUCUGAUUCUUUGAUGGAGGGAUGGUUUGGAGGUGUUUUUGGAACUAAUAAUUGAUGUGGUGUUAGUUAUUUCUCUUGGUGUCGAUAUGGCAGUAGCUUCCUCAAUGAUGCUUGAUGAGCUUGCCGAAGGUUCAACGAAGCCCAGAUCUGUGUGCUUUGAUGAAAAAAGGAGAACCCGAUAAUUAAAAUUGUAUGCGAUGUAUAGAAAUUACUUGUUACUUUAUGUGGAUCCAUCAAGCAACGAAGCCCAUAUCUGGCUAAGAUACUAAAGGUCCGGUUGUUACUAACUGCUAAGGAUUAUGUAGAGGCAAUUUCGGAAUCAUGCUGAAAAACAAUAAAAAAGUAGCUCUGGAUAAGGGAAAACUUGAAGAUGCGGUUAGCUAUGGAACAAACACCCUAUGGUGCAACGUUCUUGUGUUUUCACUCAAGUUUGGGGUCUGGAUUGCCACUUCAGGCCAUGUCAUGUUAGCUGAAAGUGUGCAUUUGGAUGUUUGUACAGACAGUAUCAAUUUAUAAAAACAAACAAUCUUAUAUUUUCAGCUUGAAGAGCUUCAGACCACAUCUUCAGUUGCAGACAUGAAAACAGAUGAAAUCAGCUUGCAGACAGUUUAUGUCUGCAAAAACAAACAAUACCUUAGUUGUGUUGUUUAAUGUCCGUGUUCAUCAAAGUGAUCAAUAUCUUAAAAUUGCUAUUCAUUGUUUUUCAAAAUGCGAAUAUUUAAGUGACCAGUUGUAUUGUUUAUUUAUGCAGAUGGGAAACAUCCAGCAUUAUACAACCCCCACGAAUAAUAGUGGGUGGAGUCGUCCACGAGUGGAAAGGGUUAUGUCUUGACCCUUCAUUGAUUCAACUAUAAUUUUUUUACUUUUAACAUUGUACAGCUACUGUCAAAAUUUCCCACGUAUUUUGUUGGAGUACAUUCAAGAUAAUACAUGCAUGAAUGUGAAUUAGCUGAACAUGUCGUAGGUUUGAUGUGCCACCUUGCCUCAUGCCAGUUCAGGUGGAGGAUUGCGGAUUGCCCUGAUGAUGCAGCAAGUUACAUACAUAGAGGUUGCAACACAGCCCGUUAUGAUUCUGUACGGCGGCCUGUCUUAUUUCUCUUGCAUACAGAGAUGAAAAUGCUUGAAAGAUUACAAGAGAAAAAGAUACCUGUUCAAUUUGACAAGUAGCCAAAGACAAAACGAAUGCAAUCUUGUCCUGGCAUGUUAGCUGCUCUGCUAGCAAAGUACACAGACUUGUAGCGUUUCGCUCAACGGGCCUUCAAUAUAUGAAGAUGUCCUUUUGACAAUAACAGAUGGAUUUGAUUGAUUCUUUUUGGUCUCUGCUAUUAACCUUAUAUGUUUUCUCACUGCUAGCAGUGAUAGUAAUUAGGUAAUGUCGUUUUUACCCUUUGCCACUCUAUUAAUAUUUAAAUAAAACACAACUUAUUUUAUUUCUUAAGAAGAUAGCAUGGUUUUGCAGUUAUAUCAUACCUACAUACUUUUAUGUGCAUUUAUACCAUAUUUAUUACACAAGUGUGUCAUCCUUUAUUGUUUAGGAUUGUUGUUGCCGCAAAAGAGAUCAAUGUGGGAAUUCUCAGUCGAUCAGACUAUAAAUAAAACAUUGGAAGCUAAUAUUCCUUCGAUUAAUCAUUUGAAUCUGAUCUUUUCUACUUUAUCGUUUAGGCUUGUGUAUUGAUUAUUUUCCCGUUUUCCCUUUGCUCAAAUGGCUUUUCUUUUGCUGUGUUUUUCAGGUGAGUUAAAGAGUUGAUGUCAAGAAGGCAAAACCAUAGACAGGCGGUGUUGAAUAUCAACUACAAAUAUUGUAAUUAUACAUGUAGUGGCCGUAAUAUUUUGUAAUAGUUACCAAAUUCCUAACGUGUGCGCGACAUGAGAAGUUUACAACUCUUCUUGUAGCGAAGACCUUUAAUGUCAUACUGCUUUUUGUAUGAUUUUACCGAA
Molecule: long non-coding RNA, 4501 nt
Organism: Helianthus annuus (common sunflower)
Lineage: Eukaryota; Viridiplantae; Streptophyta; Magnoliopsida; Asterales; Asteraceae
Exons: 6
Source: RefSeq, a predicted model, not a curated record